This 714-nucleotide long non-coding RNA is filed under the name Aotus nancymaae (Ma's night monkey). Its description in RNAcentral is "lncRNA (ENSANAG00000038822.1)". Lineage: Eukaryota; Metazoa; Chordata; Mammalia; Primates; Aotidae. The record is from RNAcentral.
CAAGGUGUGCGCACGAGGCGCCCGCUGGCAAUGGCGGGGGAGGGGGCAACGUAUGCGCACAAGGCCCCUGCGGGCAAUGGCGGGGAGGGGUGAAAGUGUUCGCGCGAGGCACCUGCUGGCAAUGGCGGGGAGGGGGCAACGUAUGCGCACAAGGCACCUGCUGGCAAUGCCGGGGAGGGGUGGAGGUGUGUGCCCGAGGCGCCUGCUGGCAAUGGCGGCCGAGGGGGCAAUGUACGGGCACGAGGCACCUGCUGGCAACUGCGGGACAGGGGGCGCGGUGGUAGGGUGGGGGGCAGUGCAGUUAUAGGUACUGGAUGAGAUGCCAGCACAAAAGACCCGGAACCCUAACGAACUGGCAUGGCAAGACACGGGCACAAGGCACCUGCUGACAACCGUGGGAAAAUGGAGGGACUGGCGCACCAGGCGCCUGCUGGCAACCGUGGGAAAAUGGAGGGGCCGGCGCACAAGGCACCUGCUGGCAAACGCGGGAAACUGGAGGGGCCGGGGCGGGGCGCGCGAAAUAGAUACUGGAGGGAGAGGCACGCGCACAAAGCACGCGAGACAUUAACGGUUCGGUGCGGCAAGGCAUGCGCACAAGGCAUCUGCUGGCAAUGGCGGGGAGGGGUGAAGGUGUGUGCGCGAGGCGCCUGCUGGCAAUGGCGGCGGACGGGGCGAUGUACGGGCACGAGGCACCUGCUGGCAACUGCGGGACAG